GGCUAUAGCUCAGUUGGUGGAGAGCUUGUCUCUCAUGCACGAGGCCCUGGGUUCAAUCCCCAGCACCA
Molecule: transfer RNA, 68 nt
Filed under: Marmota monax (woodchuck)
Lineage: Eukaryota; Metazoa; Chordata; Mammalia; Rodentia; Sciuridae
Description: tRNA.Glu
Source: RNAcentral